This 434-nucleotide ribosomal RNA is filed under the name uncultured Blautia sp. RNAcentral describes it as "partial 16S ribosomal RNA". It matches the Rfam family "Bacterial small subunit ribosomal RNA", at positions 341 to 792 of the family's 1533-position model. The record is from RNAcentral. Lineage: Bacteria; Bacillati; Bacillota; Clostridia; Lachnospirales; Lachnospiraceae.
ACGGAAGGCAGCAGUGGGGAAUAUUGCACAAUGGGCGCAAGCCUGAUGCAGCGAUGCCGCGUGAGGGAAGAAGGUUUUCGGAUUGUAAACCUCUGUCAACAGGGACGAAAAUGACGGUACCUGUGAAGGAAGCUCCGGCUAACUACGUGCCAGCAGCCGCGGUAAUACGUAGGGAGCAAGCGUUAUCCGGAAUUACUGGGUGUAAAGGGAGCGUAGACGGAAUGGCAAGUCUGGUGUGAAAGGCAUGGGCUCAACCUGUGGACUGCACUGGAAACUGUCGUUCUUGAGUGCCGGAGGGGUAAGCGGAAUUCCUAGUGUAGCGGUGAAAUGCGUAGAUAUUAGGAGGAACACCAGUGGCGAAGGCGGCUUACUGGACGGUAACUGACGUUGAGGCUCGAAAGCGUGGGGAGCAAACAGGAUUAGAUACCCUGGUA